UUAUAUACACUUCACUAUCGAUCAAUGUAUUUUAACUUGUCGCAGCAGAAUAUAUCUGUCUUAUAUUUUAGCUAAUAAUUGACAAACAAUGUGUUUCCAAAUCUUCAGGUGGACAUACUUUAGGUUUCUCUCAUUGUUCAUCCUUCAGUAACAGGAUACACAACUUCGAUGCCACCAACGAUGUUGACCCAACAUUACAUCCAUCCUUGGCAUCAACCUUAAAGGGAAUUUGUCCACUUAAAAACAGGGCUAAGAAUGCUGGAACUGCCAUGGAUACUUCCUCAACAACGUUUGAUAAUUCAUAUUACAAGUUAAUUCUACAGAACAAGAGCCUUUUCUCUUCAGACCAAGCUUUGCUCAGUAUUCCCAAAACUAAAACUCUGGUUUCUGACUUUGCUAGCUCAAAAGAAGCUUUCUUUAAAGCUUUUGCUAAUUCCAUGAUCAAAAUGAGUAGCAUAAAUUCGUAUAACUUACGUAUAAUGUAUGCUAUACGUAAGUUAUUNNNNNNNNNNNNNNNNNNNNNNNNNUUUCCAAAUCUUCAGGUGACGAUACUUAGGUUUCUCUCAUUGUUCAUCCUUCAGUAACAGGAUACACAACUUCGAUGCCACCAACGAUGUUGACCCAACAUUACAUCCAUCCUUGGCAUCAACCUUAAAGGGAAUUUGUCCACUUAAAAACAGGGCUAAGAAUGCUGGAACUGCCAUGGAUACUUCCUCAACAACGUUUGAUAAUUCAUAUUACAAGUUAAUUCUACAGAACAAGAGCCUUUUCUCUUCAGACCAAGCUUUGCUCAGUAUUCCCAAAACUAAAAC
This 812-nucleotide long non-coding RNA is filed under the name Nicotiana tabacum (common tobacco). RNAcentral's name for it is "long non-coding RNA (NTAB_LNC019082)". Lineage: Eukaryota; Viridiplantae; Streptophyta; Magnoliopsida; Solanales; Solanaceae. The record is from RNAcentral.